Molecule: ribosomal RNA, 952 nt
Filed under: Pseudomonas migulae
Lineage: Bacteria; Pseudomonadati; Pseudomonadota; Gammaproteobacteria; Pseudomonadales; Pseudomonadaceae
Description: bacterial SSU rRNA
Rfam family: Bacterial small subunit ribosomal RNA
Source: RNAcentral
UGACGCUGGCGGCAGGCCUAACACAUGCAAGUCGAGCGGUAGAGAGAAGCUUGCUUCUCUUGAGAGCGGCGGACGGGUGAGUAAUGCCUAGGAAUCUGCCUGGUAGUGGGGGAUAACGCUCGGAAACGGACGCUAAUACCGCAUACGUCCUACGGGAGAAAGCAGGGGACCUUCGGGCCUUGCGCUAUCAGAUGAGCCUAGGUCGGAUUAGCUAGUUGGUGAGGUAAUGGCUCACCAAGGCGACGAUCCGUAACUGGUCUGAGAGGAUGAUCAGUCACACUGGAACUGAGACACGGUCCAGACUCCUACGGGAGGCAGCAGUGGGGAAUAUUGGACAAUGGGCGAAAGCCUGAUCCAGCCAUGCCGCGUGUGUGAAGAAGGUCUUCGGAUUGUAAAGCACUUUAAGUUGGGAGGAAGGGCAGUAAAUUAAUACUUUGCUGUUUUGACGUUACCGACAGAAUAAGCACCGGCUAACUCUGUGCCAGCAGCCGCGGUAAUACAGAGGGUGCAAGCGUUAAUCGGAAUUACUGGGCGUAAAGCGCGCGUAGGUGGUUCGUUAAGUUGGAUGUGAAAUCCCCGGGCUCAACCUGGGAACUGCAUUCAAAACUGUCGAGCUAGAGUAUGGUAGAGGGUGGUGGAAUUUCCUGUGUAGCGGUGAAAUGCGUAGAUAUAGGAAGGAACACCAGUGGCGAAGGCGACCACCUGGACUGAUACUGACACUGAGGUGCGAAAGCGUGGGGAGCAAACAGGAUUAGAUACCCUGGUAGUCCACGCCGUAAACGAUGUCAACUAGCCGUUGGGAGCCUUGAGCUCUUAGUGGCGCAGCUAACGCAUUAAGUUGACCGCCUGGGGAGUACGGCCGCAAGGUUAAAACUCAAAUGAAUUGACGGGGGCCCGCACAAGCGGUGGAGCAUGGUGGUUUAUUCGAAGCAACGCGAGAACCUUACAGGCU